RNAcentral lists this ribosomal RNA (537 nucleotides) under uncultured bacterium. Its description in RNAcentral is "partial 16S ribosomal RNA". It matches the Rfam family "Bacterial small subunit ribosomal RNA", at positions 355 to 901 of the family's 1533-position model. The record is from RNAcentral.
UGGGGAAUAUUGGACAAUGGGCGGAAGCCUGAUCCAGCAACGCCGCGUGAGGGAUGACGGCCUUCGGGUUGUAAACCUCUUUCAGUACCGACGAAGCGAAAGUGACGGUAGGUACAGAAGAAGGACCGGCCAACUACGUGCCAGCAGCCGCGGUAAUACGUAGGGUCCGAGCGUUGUCCGGAAUUAUUGGGCGUAAAGGGCUCGUAGGCGGUUUGUCGCGUCGGGAGUGAAAACAGCGGGCUUAACUCGUUGCUUGCUUUCGAUACGGGCAGACUAGAGGUAUGCAGGGGAGAAUGGAAUUCCUGGUGUAGCGGUGAAAUGCGCAGAUAUCAGGAGGAACACCGGUGGCGAAGGCGGUUCUCUGGGCAUUACCUGACGCUGAGGAGCGAAAGUGUGGGGAGCGAACAGGAUUAGAUACCCUGGUAGUCCACACCGUAAACGUUGGGCGCUAGGUGUGGGGUCCUUUCCACGGAUUCCGUGCCGUAAGCUAACGCAUUAAGCGCCCCGCCUGGGGAGUACGGCGCAAGGCUCAAAACU